AGUGAACGCUUGGCGGCAGGCCUAACACAUGCAAGUCGAGCGGCAGCGCGGGGCAACCUGGCGGCGAGCGGCGGACGGGUGAGGAAUGCGUCGGAAUCUGCCUUUUUGUGGGGGAUAACGUAGGGAAACUUACGCUAAUACCGCAUACGACCUACGGGUGAAAAGUGGGGGGACCGCAAAGGCCUCACGCAGAAAGAUGAGCCGACGCCCGAUUAGCUAGUUGGUGAGGUAAAAGGCUCACCAAGGCGACGAUCGGUAGCUGGUCUGAGAGGAUGAUCAGCCACACUGGGACUGAGACACGGCCCAGACUCCUACGGGAGGCAGCAGUGGGGAAUAUUGGACAAUGGGCGCAAGCCUGAUCCAGCCAUGCCGCGUGUGUGAAGAAGGCCUUCGGGUUGUAAAGCACUUUUGUCCGGAAAGAAAUCCCAAAGGUUAAUACCUUUUGGGGAUGACGGUACCGGAAGAAUAAGCACCGGCUAACUUCGUG
This 487-nucleotide ribosomal RNA is filed under the name uncultured bacterium. RNAcentral's name for it is "bacterial SSU rRNA". It matches the Rfam family "Bacterial small subunit ribosomal RNA", at positions 29 to 507 of the family's 1533-position model. The record is from RNAcentral.